This 484-nucleotide ribosomal RNA is filed under the name uncultured bacterium. RNAcentral describes it as "partial 16S ribosomal RNA". It matches the Rfam family "Bacterial small subunit ribosomal RNA", at positions 30 to 507 of the family's 1533-position model. The record is from RNAcentral.
AUUGAACGCUGGCGGCAGGCCUAACACAUGCAAGUCGAGCGGAUGAAGGGAGCUUGCUCCUGGAUUCAGCGGCGGACGGGUGAGUAAUGCCUAGGAAUCUGCCUGGUAGUGGGGGAUAACGUCCGGAAACGGGCGCUAAUACCGCAUACGUCCUGAGGGAGAAAGUGGGGGAUCUUCGGACCUCACGCUAUCAGAUGAUCCUAGGUCGGAUUAGCUAGUUGGUGGGGUAAAGGCCUACCAAGGCGACGAUCCGUAACUGGUCUGAGAGGAUGAUCAGUCACACUGGAACUGAGACACGGUCCAGACUCAUACGGGAGGCAGCAGUGGGGAAUAUUGGACAAUGGGCGAAAGCCUGAUCCAGACAUGCCGCGUGUGUGAAGAAGGUCUUCGGAUUGUAAAGCACUUUAAGUUGGGAGGAAGGGCAGUAAGUUAAUACCUUGCUGUUUUGACGUUACCAACAGAAUAAGCACCGGCUAACUUCGUG